This is a non-coding RNA of Microcebus murinus (gray mouse lemur), 1419 nucleotides long. NCBI's taxonomy places the organism in Eukaryota, Metazoa, Chordata, Mammalia, Primates, Cheirogaleidae. The record is from RefSeq and is a predicted model, not a curated record.
ACUGAAAGGAGGAUUUAUUAGUGAUUAUUCUGGGACAAAGGCAAAUACUAGGAUCGUCGUCGCAGACCCCCUGGAAUCUGGGGCCACCUUAGCCAUGGGAGCCUGAUGGAGAAUGGAGUGGGGAGGCCUGGACUUCACAGGCCCCAGGGUCCUGCUUUCAGAUGACCUCUUAUGGCAGGACCAAGAGCAGUAGCACCAACUUUGAAACUUCCACCUGGGCAAGUGACCGAUGGGAGAAGGCUCAAUGGAAUUGUCUAGGGAGAGGUCAUGAGAUUAUCUUCACCAGAGAUGUUACAGCAGGUGCUGACAGCUGAGCCAUUCCACGCACCUUGGGGGCACAGAACUGCCGGAAACCAGGGCCAAGUUCAGAGCCUGAAAAUUCUUUCAAAGGCUACAAGGAGAAACCUGGAGGGCCGAUGGCGCGUUACAUAAGCCGUCUGUGCGCAACGUUUACGCAGAAGCACUUGUGGAGUGUUGCAACAUGACUCCACAUCUUUAUCAAAAAUGUGAAACAUCCACCCAGCACACACUUAAAAAGCACUAAAGCGCUUCUCCGCCAGAUCCAUUCCUGCCUCCGUUACGUUUUCUUCGGGCUUUCUGAAAUAACCAAAAGGGUAAACCAUACAGUGUAAACCGUGCCUCGGCGACGUCGACCAGACCACAGAUGACGGAGUUAGGAAAGGCCAUGAGCUUUCCAAGAACCAAGACAAAAAGGACCACAUGCCAGAGUAAUCAUGAGAGGCUGAAGCAGUCAAGAAAUUCUUCAGAGGUGUGGGGCAUGGAUGAGACCCCGGCUGCUUCCCCCAGACUCCAUCUCACUCCCCACAAAGACUGUUGGCUCCUUACCCAGUAUUCAUUCUGCAUUUCUUCCUUGGUAAAACAACUCCAACGUGGCAAUGUGCCUGGCUAAAAGCCCACAUUUCCUUGUCUCCCUUGCAGUAGGGGUGGCUAAUGAGAUCUAAGGAGGUGUUGCUGAGUGGUCAGGGUUGCCAGAUAAAAUACAAGAUGCCCAGUUACAUUUGAAUUUCAGUUAACAGUAAAAAUUUGUAAUUGUAAGAAUACAUAUAACUAUGUCAUAUGUAAAAUAUUUGUAUUUGUAUUUGCCAAAUCUGGCAACUCUAUGCACAAAGCUUCUAAGGAGCCAGGUAGACACUCCUUUUCUCUCUUUCUCUUUUUUCCUGGGACAUGGAUGGGAUAGCUGGGGCUUCAGCAACCAUCUUGGGUCAUGAGGUUAAGGAUGGCAGAGCAUACAUACAGAGGACUUGGGUCCCUAAUGACUAUAUAACUUCAGGCUUUUUUAUAUGGAAGAAUAACCAUUAAUUUGCUUUAGCUGCUAGAUGCGUCUCUGUGAUUUGCAUUCAAUUGUUAUUCCUAACUUAUAGCCAUAAUAAAGAGUGCAUUGUUAUUUUGGGUAUUUGA